This 736-nucleotide long non-coding RNA is filed under the name Arabidopsis lyrata. Its description in RNAcentral is "long non-coding RNA (ALYR_LNC000621)". The record is from RNAcentral. Lineage: Eukaryota; Viridiplantae; Streptophyta; Magnoliopsida; Brassicales; Brassicaceae.
UAAAAUCUCGUCUACUCAUUUCGCUAUCUCUUCUCUAUCUCUGGUUCUGCAUAUUAGACAAUUCAGCUACGUAACAUCAUUCACCAAAGAAAAGCUUCAAGCUUUGGUUUCAGACAGAAGCAGUACCAGGCAUGUCCUCUUCUCAUCUCUGUGUUUCUUUCAGAAUUAGCUCGCUUGUUCAUGAUCUUGUAAUGAAUAUCUUUGAUGAAUUAAAAACAUGUUGAAAGAUUCAUGGAACCUGGAAUGUUUUUUUUUCUAAGUUGUAUAGGACUUGUAAUUCUUCUUUUGGCGCAGACACUUAAGAAAACAGUUAUGUUCUAUAGGUACACGAAAACAUACAAGUCUAUAUUGAGAUUUCGAUGUAUUAUCUUUACAUAUUACAUUCGUAGAACAAAUGUUGGUCAUGGAUCCUCUACACGUGUAUAUAUAUCAACAGGUUGUAUAAUCUCUUCCAUGUGAAAGCUCUGUCUUCUUCUCUUAGCUUCUGUUUGCAGCAAACUUAUCUUUAAGCUCUUAUGUUUCAUCAGCUUGAUCAUUGAAGAAAUGUCUCAUUGCUUGUAUGAAUAUAUCUGUCGAAAGACGUUUCAGAUUGUGAUAAGUCUAGUUGCUAAUGUUCUAACUUUGAUAUAAUUAAGCAGUGAGGAGCUUACUUGGUCGACAAAUUGAAAUGUGAAGGGUUGUUGUUAUGUAAGACAAGGUCCAACUUUGACGGGUUUUACAGCCCUGAAAGCUCUUC